AAUUAAUGUUAUUUCUAAAUUUAAGGUGAUAUAAUAAUGCUUUUGUUUUUUUUCAGACCAAGGCUGCAAAGCUCCAGAACAAAAACAGCUACACAAGGCAAAGCUUACGAAGAGCAACACCACAUUGGUCGUAAACCAACCACUGCUAAAGAGAAUGAGGGGAGGACUGCAGCUCACGAACUCUUAAGAGAAAAAUCUGAAGCAAAACCAGCAAAAUGGGAGAGAGAGGCAGAGAGA
Molecule: unclassified non-coding RNA, 237 nt
Filed under: Hevea brasiliensis (rubber tree)
Lineage: Eukaryota; Viridiplantae; Streptophyta; Magnoliopsida; Malpighiales; Euphorbiaceae
Source: RNAcentral